AGUCGAGCGAGCUUGCCUAGAUGAUUUUAGUGCUUGCACUAAAUGAAACUAGCUACAAGCGAGCGGCGGACGGGUGAGUAACACGUGGGUAACCUGCCCAAGAGACUGGGAUAACACCUGGAAACAGAUGCUAAUACCGGAUAACAACACUAGACGCAUGUCUAGAGUUUGAAAGAUGGUUCUGCUAUCACUCUUGGAUGGACCUGCGGUGCAUUAGCUAGUUGGUAAGGUAACGGCUUACCAAGGCAAUGAUGCAUAGCCGAGUUGAGAGACUGAUCGGCCACAUUGGGACUGAGACACGGCCCAAACUCCUACGGGAGGCAGCAGUAGGGAAUCUUCCACAAUGGACGAAAGUCUGAUGGAGCAACGCCGCGUGAGUGAAGAAGGGUUUCGGCUCGUAAAGCUCUGUUGGUAGUGAAGAAAGAUAGAGGUAGUAACUGGCCUUUAUUUGA
Molecule: ribosomal RNA, 452 nt
Filed under: uncultured bacterium
Lineage: Bacteria
Description: bacterial SSU rRNA
Rfam family: Bacterial small subunit ribosomal RNA
Source: RNAcentral